This 253-nucleotide ribosomal RNA is filed under the name Palaemon argentinus. Its description in RNAcentral is "partial 16S ribosomal RNA". The record is from RNAcentral. Lineage: Eukaryota; Metazoa; Arthropoda; Malacostraca; Decapoda; Palaemonidae.
AUUAUAAUUUGACUUUUAAGUGAAAAGGCUUAAAUUAUUCAGAGGGACGAUAAGACCCUAUAAAACUUUAUAUGUCAUUAGUUUUAUACUUAAAUUUUAAUUUAAAAUUGUAAAAUCAAUAGCAUAUUUUGUUGGGGAGACAUUGAUAUAGACAGUAACUGUCCGAAUAAAAAUAAUAAUUAUAUUUAGAAUAUGAUCCUUCUUUGUGGAUAAAAAGAAUAAGUUACUUUAGGGAUAACAGCGUAAUUUUCUC